AAACAAAGAUGGAAAACUCAUACCGGUAAUCACCCCGGAAGAUGGUCUCCUUAAGCUAAAAUCCUGGGGCCUUGACAACUUACCUGACGACCAGACAACAGGUGCACAACGGAGAAUUAGACUGGACUGGUCCAGAGUCACAAAGAAACGCUGAUAACAUAGACUAUCCUCCAAACUGCCUCCUGGUACCGCAAGUAUCUCACCCAAGCACCUUCAACUCAAAAUAUGCCCUCAGUUCUAUCAGUUAAUAUUGAUAUGUUGUAAUCCCCCAAUCAGACAUGCACACAAAGCAUCUAUUUAAUUGCUGACCUGUGCAAAAUGGGACAUUAACAUACACCUUUAUCGGUAAUGAUGAUAAGACGUAACUCCCG
Molecule: non-coding RNA, 371 nt
Organism: Pelobates cultripes (western spadefoot toad)
Lineage: Eukaryota; Metazoa; Chordata; Amphibia; Anura; Pelobatidae
Source: the annotation of a GenBank genome assembly